RNAcentral lists this ribosomal RNA (292 nucleotides) under uncultured bacterium. Its description in RNAcentral is "partial 16S ribosomal RNA". The record is from RNAcentral.
GGACUACAGGGGUAUCUAAUCCUGUUUGCUCCCCUAGCUUUCGCAGAUCAGCGUCAGUGAUGGUCCAGUAGCCUGCUUUCGCCAUAGGUAUUCCUCCCGAUAUCUACGCAUUUCACCGCUACACCGGGAAUUCCAGCUACCUCUACCACACUCCAGCCGGGUAGUUUCCCUUGACCUCUCCCAGUUAAGCCGGGAGCUUUCACAAGAGACUUACCCAACCGCCUACCUGCGCUUUACACCUAGUGAUUCCGAGUAACGCUUGCCACCUACGUAUUACCGCGGCUGCUGGCAC